GAUGAACGCUGGCGGCGUGCCUAAUACAUGCAAGUCGAGCGAACGGACGAGAAGCUUGCUUUUCUGAUGUUAGCGGCGGACGGGUGAGUAACACGUGGAUAACCUACCUAUAAGACUGGGAUAACUUCGGGAAACCGGAGCUAAUACCGGAUAAUAUUUUGAACCGCAUGGUUCAAAAGUGAAAGACGGUCUUGCUGUCACUUAUAGAUGGAUCCGCGCUGCAUUAGCUAGUUUGUAAGGUAACGGCUUACCAAGGCAACGAUGCAUAGCCGACCUGAGAGGGUGAUCGGCCACACUGGAACUGAGACACGGUCCAGACUCCUACGGGAGGCAGCAGUAGGGAAUCUUCCGCAAUGGGCGAAAGCCUGACGGAGCAACGCCGCGUGAGUGAUGAAGGUCUUCGGAUCGUAAAACUCUGUUAUUAGGGAAGAACAUAUGUGUAAGUAACUGUGCACAUCUUGACGGUACCUAAUCAGAAAGCCACGGCUAACUACGUG
This 497-nucleotide ribosomal RNA is filed under the name uncultured bacterium. RNAcentral's name for it is "partial 16S ribosomal RNA". It matches the Rfam family "Bacterial small subunit ribosomal RNA", at positions 28 to 507 of the family's 1533-position model. The record is from RNAcentral.